UCACAGCUGACUGCAGCCUCAACCUUCCAGGCUGAAGCGAUCCUCCCAUCUCAACCUCCCACGUGGCUGAGACUAUAGGUGCUUGCCACUAUGCCCAACUAAUAUUUGGAAUUUUCCUAUACGUGGAUUCCAGAGGGGUGACAGUGAAAC
This 150-nucleotide long non-coding RNA is filed under the name Pongo abelii (Sumatran orangutan). RNAcentral's name for it is "lincRNA". The record is from RNAcentral. Lineage: Eukaryota; Metazoa; Chordata; Mammalia; Primates; Hominidae.